GAAUCUGCCUGGUUAGUGGGGGAUAACGUCCGGAAACGGACGCUAAUACCGCAUACGUCCUACGGGAGAAAGCAGGGGACCUUCGGGCCUUGCGCUAUCAGAUGAGCCUAGGUCGGAUUAGCUAGUUGGUGGGGUAAUGGCUCACCAAGGCGACGAUCCGUAACUGGUCUGAGAGGAUGAUCAGUCACACUGGAACUGAGACACGGUCCAGACUCCUACGGGAGGCAGCAGUGGGGAAUAUUGGACAAUGGGCGAAAGCCUGAUCCAGCCAUGCCGCGUGUGUGAAGAAGGUCUUCGGAUUGUAAAGCACUUUAAGUUGGGAGGAAGGGCAGUAAAUUAAUACUUUGCUGUUUUGACGUUACCGACAGAAUAAGCACCGGCUAACUCUGUGCCAGCACCCGCGGUAAUACAGAGGGUGCAAGCGUUAAUCGGAAUUACUGGGCGUAAAGCGCGCGUAGGUGGUUUCGUU
This 469-nucleotide ribosomal RNA is filed under the name uncultured bacterium. RNAcentral describes it as "bacterial SSU rRNA". It matches the Rfam family "Bacterial small subunit ribosomal RNA", at positions 122 to 585 of the family's 1533-position model. The record is from RNAcentral.